CAGCCGCCGCGGUAAUACGUAGGUGGCAAGCGUUGUCCGGAAUUAUUGGGCGUAAAGGGCUCGCAGGCGGUUUCUUAAGCCUGAUGUGAAAGCCCCCGGCUCAACCGGGGAGGGUCAUUGGAAACUGGGAAACUUGAGUGCAGAAGAGGAGAGUGGAAUUCCACGUGUAGCGGUGAAAUGCGUAGAGGUGUGGAGGAACACCAGUGGCGAAGGCGACUCUCUGGUCCGUAACUGACGCUGAGGAGCGAAAGCGUGGGGAGCGAACAGGAUUAGAUACCCGCGUAGUCCCUGUCUCUUAUAC
This 301-nucleotide ribosomal RNA is filed under the name uncultured bacterium. RNAcentral's name for it is "partial 16S ribosomal RNA". It matches the Rfam family "Bacterial small subunit ribosomal RNA", at positions 509 to 807 of the family's 1533-position model. The record is from RNAcentral.